GGAAGGUAGCCGGAUAUGGUUUGCCGGGACGUCUUGCUAAGGCGUUUCCCAACUGGGAUGAGGGUUCGACUCCCUUGCCUUCCG
This 84-nucleotide transfer RNA is filed under the name Pirellulales bacterium. RNAcentral's name for it is "tRNA-Ser". It matches the Rfam family "tRNA". Rfam says of the family: Transfer RNA (tRNA) molecules are approximately 80 nucleotides in length. Their secondary structure includes four short double-helical elements and three loops (D, anti-codon, and T loops). Further hydrogen bonds mediate the characteristic L-shaped molecular structure. tRNAs have two regions of fundamental functional importance: the anti-codon, which is responsible for specific mRNA codon recognition, and the 3' end, to which the tRNAs corresponding amino acid is attached (by aminoacyl-tRNA synthetases). tRNAs cope with the degeneracy of the genetic code in two manners: having more than one tRNA (with a specific anti-codon) for a particular amino acid; and 'wobble' base-pairing, i.e. permitting non-standard base-pairing at the 3rd anti-codon position. The record is from RNAcentral. Lineage: Bacteria; Pseudomonadati; Planctomycetota; Planctomycetia; Pirellulales.